Molecule: long non-coding RNA, 565 nt
Organism: Lepidothrix coronata (blue-crowned manakin)
Lineage: Eukaryota; Metazoa; Chordata; Aves; Passeriformes; Pipridae
Exons: 4
Source: RefSeq, a predicted model, not a curated record
AAAAUGUUUGCCUGUUUCAGAAGGCCAUUCAGAACAUGGGGGCAGCCACAUUAAUUCAAUCUGAAAGGAUUGCAAUGUCUGCACGAGGCUGAUGACACUGAGACAGAGUUCUUGGCUGGAUAUUUUGGAGCAGGCACAUGUGCCCUUUAUGUAUCAAGCAGGAAGUUUAUUUUGGGUGUUUGGGGGUAGCAUGAGGACAAGGAUGGUGAUUACAUGUUAUCUCCAUAAUUUGCAUGAUGCUGGUCUGUUGCAUAUUGGGAUUGUGCAGCAUUUAGGAUAACUCUUUGGGAUAUGCCCACUGCACAUAAAGUGGCUGAAGGCAACAGGUCUCUCUGCAGACGGUCUUUGUUUGUAUAGACCAGGGCCUGCCUGCUCAGACCUGCCAUUAUCUCUGGUCCUUUUGGGAAGUGUGGGGUGUUGGUUGGUGCUUCGCAUGACUCUGCUGUCUCGUUCAGGGAAGUAUUUAAUUUGUUUUUGUUUUUUUUUUUAUUUGUUCGCUAACUCUCUAUUAGUGGUUUAUAUUUGUAGUAUAUUUGUUUUGAUUUUUUUUUUAUCCCUGUUUCCC